CACCCAGUGCAUGUUACUGCAGCUCACUCGUAAUUCUGAAAGCGUGUUCCUGAACCUUGAAAGUCACAGACAAACUUCAAAACUGCUCGGGGGGUAGUCAUGCCACCUCACCCCCCUGAGAGUAGAUUUUUCUGAGCAACUGGAUGUGAGUACCUGACAUCUGAUAGAUUCUCACUGGAAAUAAAUCAGGACUAACAGCAAGGAUUCAGUGGACUAUGGACUGACACCUCUGACACCCCGAGUCAAAUUAAAUCUUCUUCCAAGCUAUUUUUCC
This is a long non-coding RNA of Meriones unguiculatus (Mongolian gerbil), 274 nucleotides long. RefSeq lists it as uncharacterized. The record is from RefSeq and is a predicted model, not a curated record. The transcript has 3 exons. NCBI's taxonomy places the organism in Eukaryota, Metazoa, Chordata, Mammalia, Rodentia, Muridae.